Molecule: ribosomal RNA, 122 nt
Filed under: Medicago truncatula (barrel medic)
Lineage: Eukaryota; Viridiplantae; Streptophyta; Magnoliopsida; Fabales; Fabaceae
Source: RNAcentral
AUGUGUGAUCAUACUAGCACCAAUGUCUCGGAUCUCAUCAGACCUCUGUAGUUAAACAUGUUUAGACGAUAAUAUUACUAUGACGAAAAGGAUGACCGCCCAAAAAGUAUGUGUUGCACCUC